AGCUGGAGAAAAGGUUGAAGUGGUGAGAGAAACCUUUGCGUUGCAUGUUAAGACUUCCCAUUCCGAAGGAAUCUCUUCCCCUUAAUCAAUAUAACAAUGCACAUUACUAUUGGAAUUAUUCCACAAAUUGUGGUGAUGUGAAGAGAGAAGGCAGCUGACAUCAAGCAAAGGGGGUCAAGGCUGGAUUCACACCCAGGACACUGUGGAGCCAACUGGUGAUUGAGGCCAGGAGUAUGCGCCGCUGUCUCCCAGAGAAACUGAAGCAUACUGUGACCCAUGGCAUCCUGUGUUGCUGUGAUGAAGAAGAAGAAGGUUGCCAGGCUGUACCAAACGCUUCAUGAUGCCUCCUUUGCUGUGGACUGUCUGCGAUAUGACCUGAAGUCACCAAGCUCCGCCUCCAUGUCUGCACCACCAAAAGACAUGUUCUCCCACCUUUUAUUGAACAAAGUUCCUAUGAACUACAUCACCUAAAGCCCAAGACCCAUACAAUCCACUACCUUCUACUUCCACUGACUGAUGAGACACUACCCUGUGUCUCAUAUGCAGAUGAGAUGUCGGCACACGUAGUAUUGAAAGGCUGCAUGAAGAUGGAGUAGGCCAAAUGAAAAGUGUGGAAUUCAGUGAAAUCAACAUUGGGAUGCUGUGACCCAGAGAAGCUGCAUCCCGAAUAGCUGUGAUGAAGAGGGCUGCCGGGCUUUCCACACAAUGUUGGCAGGUUGAAGCAGUGAGAAACAUCCGGGAGAGGCUACAGGUCUGGUGUAAAGGAAGGAAGAAAGGAUGGAUUUGUAUGAAAUCAACCUGGGAUGCUGUGGCUCAAGUUUCGUUCUGGAUUCUGUACCAAAUCCUUCAUGGUGACAAUGCCCCUUUGCCCUUUGAGUUCAGACCUACGACCGGAGCUUGACAAGCCCUGCACACUGGCCCUGAUCCUCCCCUCCUCUCUGCCACUAUUCUGCAGAUUUUCCAUGAACUCUACCACUUAAAGCUAGAAACUCAUCCAAUCAAGUCCCUAACUUCAGCGAAUCCCAACUCCCGUACACCACUCUGUUAAACUAGCACAUUUACAUCAGAUGAAGCUGUUUCAAAUUCUUGAUCCUAAUUUACCCUGAUGCUCCAAUGCACUCUUUGUGUAACUGUCAUAACUUUGUAUGUUUUUAAUGAUGAUGAUAAUGGUAAUAAUAAUAACUUAGAUUUAUAAGGCGCCUUUCACGAAACCCAAGGUCGCUGGGUUGAUGUUGUUGAACAUUUCAGACCCAUGUGUCUGUUUUUGUAAAGUGAGAAACCAUGUGAGAACAUUUCAGGUUCUCUGUGCAUGAGCCAAGUAAAUCUUGUGCAGCAUUUUGGUUGGUUUUAACAAUUUGGAAACUAGUUGGGAGGAUAAUUGAGCUGGGUCUCCAUAACACUACAGAGAACAAGGUUAAUUGAGUCGACUCGUAAAAUGGUAAGGAUUUCGUCCUUCCCCUUUUUCUCUGUGUGUGAGGAAAUCUGACCAUGAAUCCUUACUGACUGGUGUGUCAUGGUUGUGCCGUUUCCUAAACUAGAUAAGGAUCCAUCUAGUUUUGUGAAUCCGCUCACCGUGGCUUGCCAUCACCUAACCUACCUAACAGUUGAUAUGGUCAUGUAGAGCGACAUAAGUGUGAAGCAUUUGGGCAAAUUGGGUCAAGCAACACUGUAGACUUUGUCAAUGGUCCCUAGCUACAUCUUCACAGACAUGAAGUCUAAAGAAACCCUUUUCAGAUUUGUCAUCAACUCUAGCAACUUUCUAGCUCUACAACUGACUCACAACUACACACCACUCUGCAAAACCACAAUACACUCACACCACAGACAAGUACAUUGAAUUUUAACAGAUGUGACACUGUAACCUAUUGGAUAAACCUUCUAAAACCCCACCCUGCCAACAUUAUGACAGUCUCACCAUUAAAUUGAUACAUUUGGGCCAGAGAGGAAGGCAUGCAGAGUUGGAGAUCAGAUGUCAACGUGAUGAAAUCGCAUCCCGGAUCGCUGUGAUUAAGUUGGCCAAGCUGCACCAAAAGCCUCCAUGACGACGGCUCCUUAUCAUGGGAUGUCCUCAGAUGUUCAAUCCAAACGCCUCUGACCUGAACUACACCUCUGACCCCAGACCUCAUCACUGAGUGAUUUCCACAUGUCUGCAAAAAGACCUGAUCAACUGCCGUUCUUCAAGUUUUCCAUGAACUGAAGACCUCAUCAGACCUAGUACCUCCUACCUCCACUGACUUACACUACAACUACACACCAUUCUGUUAAAUGACCAUCUAUAGACCACUGACAAUGCAAACGAUUUAAUGUUUGAUCCUAAUUUGCCUAAAUGCCUCAGACUCUUCACUGUUUACAAGUCUACAAUUAACUUUCUAUAAUUAUUUGGUUUCUGACAUAGUAAAAAAAACAUGUUUUCAGAGCUGCUUCAUGGUUUGUAACCAGACCCUUUCGUCCUUGAACAGUUUAAAGCUUGUGUGUAUUUUCCUAAAUUUGUGAAUUAGUCAGCGGGUUAAUGAGCUGGGUCUCCUUAACACUGCAGAGAAUAAGGUCACUUGAGUCGACUCAUAAGCUGGUAAGGGUUUUCCCCCUUCCCCUUCUUCUCUCUGUGUGAGGAAACCUGACCAUGGACCCUUACUGACUAGUGUGUCAUGGUUGUGCAGUUUCCAAAAUCAGAUAAGGAUCCAUCUGGUUUUGUGAAUCUGCUCAUUAUGGCAUGCUGUUAUAUGUAAUGAUCGCUGAUGGACUGCUGGCAGCCUCACUUUGGGUGUACUAUAAAUCCAUGAGGUUUGGGCACUUAUGUGCAUGACAAUAAAAAUAAUCAAAUACAUUAUACCAAGAUGCAAGUAACAGUCUGGUAUGAUCAGAUUUGUCAUCUAGAACAAGGUAACCACUUGUAGACACAGUGAGUCGGAAGCAUUUGGCUAAAUGAAGGUCAAACAUUUAAAUUUGUAUGCUUCGUCAGUGUUUGUAUGCUACGGUCACUGCCACAGAUAACGUGUAGUGCAGCACUACAACAUAAUUACACACCACAGAAUGACACUUUAAACACACCAACACAACAGGACACGCUGCCUGAAUUUUCAGGCUUUAAUUAUGCUACUUAAAUCAUGUAAAGUUUUGUUUUUAUUUACAAAUAUUUGAAGGACUUUAUCAAGGGGCUUUUUUUUUGUAAAAUGCUGUAAUAGAUUACCCAAAUGCAUUAGUAUCUUUUCUAUCAAACAUGUUUGUCAAACAUUGUGUUUACCUUUUUGUUAACAUGUCAUUUUUAUGCUUUAAGCAUUUGCAGCACCUACAGCAACACGGUGUCGUUAAAUGUGCUAAAUUAUGUUUGAUUGUUAUAUUUUGUGGCACACAGAUAACUGGAUCUUCAUUUAAAAAAAUAAAUGCCACCUUAUGAA
Molecule: long non-coding RNA, 3395 nt
Organism: Solea senegalensis (Senegalese sole)
Lineage: Eukaryota; Metazoa; Chordata; Actinopteri; Pleuronectiformes; Soleidae
Exons: 8
Source: RefSeq, a predicted model, not a curated record